RNAcentral lists this ribosomal RNA (207 nucleotides) under uncultured bacterium. RNAcentral's name for it is "partial 16S ribosomal RNA". It matches the Rfam family "Bacterial small subunit ribosomal RNA", at positions 568 to 774 of the family's 1533-position model. The record is from RNAcentral.
CACGUAGGCGGCGCUUUAAGUCAGGUGUGAAAUCCCCCGGCUCAACCGGGGAACUGCACCUGAUACUGGAGUGCUCGAGGACGGUAGGGGUGAGUGGAACUCCAGGUGGAGCGGUGAAAUGCGUAGAUAUCUGGAGGAACACCGGUGGCGAAAGCGGCUCACUGGACCGUCUCUGACGCUGAGGUGCGAAAGCUAGGGUAGCAAACG